CAACCCUCAAGCCCCCGGGCUUGGUGUUGGAGAUCGGCACAAGCGACCUCCGGGCCGCCGCCGUCUCCCAAAUCUAGUGGCGGUCUCGCUGUGGCGUCCUCUGCGUAGUAAUACCCCUCGCACUGGAACGCGGCGCGGCCAAGCCGUUAAACCCCCCACUUCUGAA
Molecule: unclassified non-coding RNA, 166 nt
Filed under: uncultured Gliocephalotrichum
Lineage: Eukaryota; Fungi; Ascomycota; Sordariomycetes; Hypocreales; Nectriaceae
Description: sequence contains ITS2
Source: RNAcentral